UUUAAUUCCAUAUAUAAAAUCGGCAUUCAAAGACAGUAUACAUAAUUCGUUUUAUCUUGCAGUUUAACUCUAGUUUGUACUCUAUAGAACAUUAUAAUAUUUUACAUAACAUUAUAAUAUUUUUAUUGUUCUCUACUUUGUCACUAUUUUUAGCUACAGAAUUCGUUGGUCCUAAACUGGCAUUUUUAGCUAAGUAAAACGUUUUCCAAAAAAGCCAUUCUUAUCAAGAAGUUAUUAUCAUUUUAGUUUCAAAACUUACAAAUAGUUGGAAAAUCUGAUGAUGAGAUUAUAGAAGAUGCGUUCAAUAUGUGUAAUGAAUGGGCCUAUCCCGACCAAAGUGUGGCACUAAAAAAUAUUUCAAUUUAUCAAUUUAGCUUGUACAUGGUAAAAGAAGACAAGGAAACUUUAAAAACCUUUAAAGAGUACGCAAUAAAUUUAGGGUUUGGAGAAUCAUUCGACCAAGCA
Adelges cooleyi (spruce gall adelgid) is the source of this 465-nucleotide long non-coding RNA. RefSeq lists it as uncharacterized. The record is from RefSeq and is a predicted model, not a curated record. Lineage: Eukaryota; Metazoa; Arthropoda; Insecta; Hemiptera; Adelgidae. The transcript is spliced from 3 exons.